AACUCCUCUUCUUGCUGCCAAUAUCCAUCUUGUUGGAAUUGUUGAGGUUCUCCCCACAUGUAAUCUGAACAAUCUCUCAAAUCUGAAUUGUAAGCGUUGGAAAACAUGUUGUCCCGUGAUUGGUUAUGGCCUUUAUAACCCCAAGCAUCUUCAUUUGCAGUGAAAUGAGAACAUUGAUGAGUUGGAUAUCCUUGCCCAUAGGACACACCACAUGUAGGGAUACUUUGCAUUGUGGUCCUUUCGGCUUAUUGUGACAAUUGAGAAGUAAGUUUCGCCAAGUGAGCUUGACUGGUAGCAAAAUCCUUGUCUUACUUAUCUAGUACCUAAACUCAAGGAAACAAAACUAAAUCAAAUAUCAAAAGUAAAAAUAAAAGACAUAAACAAAAACAAAGUCAGUAACUAAAACAAAAGACAUGUAAAAGAAACAACGGGGGAUAAGCAAAGUUGCUAAUCACUGGCAACGGCGCCAAAAAUUUGAUGCGAAGAUUAACUUAACACACAAAUUUAACCCUCUUUUGACAAUUGUAGUAUAAGUAUAAGUAUGGAUCGUUCUGAACCGGGGAUUAGGGGAGCUUGCUAAUAACCUCUAAACUGACUUAAAAUUUUAUAAACAAAGUUAAAAACACUAAACUAGACUCAAAGAAUUCAAAACAAACUCAAAGAACUCAAAACAAGCUAAAAACACUCAAAUCUGCCUAAAAACACAAACUGGGCAGAUUUGGACUCUAAACACACUUUUGGACGAAUUUGUUGCUUAAUAUCUCACUUGUGCUACUUUUCUUUUCUUUGCUUGAUAAAUCACACAAAACACAAAAACAUAGUAAAUAGCUUAAAAAUAUAAGGAACUAAGAAAAGACAAGUGAAUUUUAUGUAAAAUAUAUAUAAAUAUGAGCUUAUCAAAUACCCCCAUACUUAGCUUUUGCUAGUCCUCGAUCAAAAUAAAGAAAACAAAACACAACCUAAACCUUCCAACGUUUGCCUCAGGGAUUUCCAACGUACAUGACAAGUUAAAAAUCAUCAUUCCCACAGAUUUUAGUCAACUUAACACUUGAGCACAUACUUAAUCACAGUCACCACUUACUGGUUCAUAUUUAACCAAUUAAAACGAUGUUUUGAAUGUAGUAACAUGCCUUAGAAUUUGCUCAAUUCCUUACAAGAUAUGCACUCAAUUGUCACUCAGAUUUUCUGACUACACACCCUACACUAGGUACAUGUGAGAAGAUUGAUGUAAACAUGAAAACUAGUA
This 1246-nucleotide long non-coding RNA is filed under the name Malus domestica (apple). RNAcentral describes it as "long non-coding RNA (MDOM_LNC008429)". Lineage: Eukaryota; Viridiplantae; Streptophyta; Magnoliopsida; Rosales; Rosaceae. The record is from RNAcentral.